This 253-nucleotide ribosomal RNA is filed under the name uncultured bacterium. RNAcentral describes it as "partial 16S ribosomal RNA". It matches the Rfam family "Bacterial small subunit ribosomal RNA", at positions 524 to 776 of the family's 1533-position model. The record is from RNAcentral.
UACGUAGGGGGCAAGCGUUAUCCGGAAUUACUGGGUGUAAAGGGAGCGUAGACGGUAAUGUAAGUCUGGAGUGAAAGGCGGGGGCCCAACCCCCGGACUGCUCUGGAAACUAUGUUACUAGAGUGCAGGAGAGGUAAGCGGAAUUCCUAGUGUAGCGGUGAAAUGCGUAGAUAUUAGGAGGAACACCAGUGGCGAAGGCGGCUUACUGGACUGUAGCUAACGUUGAGGCUCGAAAGCGUGGGGAGCAAACAGG